GACGAACGCUGGCGGCGUGCCUAACACGUGCAAGUCGAGCGGGGUCCAUCCGGUAGCAAUACCGGGGAAGACCUAGCGGCGAACGGGUGAGUAACACGUGAGAAACCUGCCCCGAAGCCUGGGAUAACCCGAGGAAACUCGAGCUAAUACCGGAUGUCUUCUUCUGAUCGCAUGGUCGGAUGAAGAAAGAUUUAUCGCUUCGGGAGGGUCUCGCGGCCUAUCAGCUAGUUGGCGGGUAACGCCCACCAAGGCGUCGACGGGUAGCUGGUCUGAGAGGACGAUCAGCCACACUGGGACUGAGACACGGCCCAGUCUCCUACGGAGGCAGCAGUGGGGAAUAUUGCGCAAUGGGCGAAAGCCUGACGCAGCAACGCCGCGUGCGGGAUGAAGGCCUCGGUUGUAACG
Molecule: ribosomal RNA, 405 nt
Filed under: uncultured bacterium
Lineage: Bacteria
Description: bacterial SSU rRNA
Rfam family: Bacterial small subunit ribosomal RNA
Source: RNAcentral